This 496-nucleotide ribosomal RNA is filed under the name uncultured bacterium. Its description in RNAcentral is "partial 16S ribosomal RNA". It matches the Rfam family "Bacterial small subunit ribosomal RNA", at positions 29 to 507 of the family's 1533-position model. The record is from RNAcentral.
AUGAACGCUGGCGGCGUGCCUAAUACAUGCAAGUCGCGCGAACAGACGAGGAGCUUGCUCCUCUGACGUUAGCGGCGGACGGGUGAGUAACACGUGGAUAACCUACCUAUAAGACUGGGAUAUCUUCGGGAAACCGGAGCUAAUACCGGAUAAUAUAUUGAACCGCAUGGUUCAAUAGUGAAAGACGGUUUUGCUGUCACUUAUAGAUGGAUCCGCGCCGCAUUAGCUAGUUGGUAAGGUAACGGCUUACCAAGGCAACGAUGCGUAGCCGACCUGAGAGGGUGAUCGGCCAGACUGGAACUGAGACACGGUCCAGACUCCUACGGGAGGCAGCAGUAGGGAAUCUUCCGCAAUGGGCGAAAGCCUGACGGAGCAACGCCGCGUGGGUGAUGAAGGUCUUCGGGUCGUAAAACUCUGUUAUUAGGGAAGAACAAAAGUGUAAGUAACUAUGCACGUCUUGACGGUACCUAAACAGAAAGCAACGGCUAACUACGUG